UUUGGUUUGUCACGUGUGGUUGGCUGCGGCGUUUGCAACAACUUCCAUGCUUUCAGACCUCUUCAGUUGUGCGGCAAGGCUUGUAUCGCCUUGUCGUAUUGUGGGUUUUCUGUGUUGUAUACCUAAUCAAUGGUAUCGGUUGGAUUGAUCAAUGUUUCAUUUCGUCUGUNGUCGCAUUUGCGGCGUGAGACGAACCUCGAUGCGGUCUCUUUGGCCCACCUCGUCGAAGCACAUGCUUAGACGUUGUGGCACAUUGAACAUUGCUUGGUCUCUUGUAUACGGAACAUAUAGUGGGCAUGGAUCUAACGAUUCUUGUUUGCCCUCAUGUUAGCGUAACGCUUCUCUUACACGACUUGCUCCACGUUUUAG
Molecule: unclassified non-coding RNA, 369 nt
Filed under: Artemisia sylvatica
Lineage: Eukaryota; Viridiplantae; Streptophyta; Magnoliopsida; Asterales; Asteraceae
Description: partial external transcribed spacer
Source: RNAcentral